Molecule: long non-coding RNA, 1650 nt
Filed under: Actinia tenebrosa (Australian red waratah sea anemone)
Lineage: Eukaryota; Metazoa; Cnidaria; Anthozoa; Actiniaria; Actiniidae
Description: uncharacterized LOC116303714
Source: RNAcentral
GCUGAAGGUUUUCUGCAAAGCUGCCGUCGACCAAGGACCGACGCAGUAUCCUUUCGACCUCUAUAAUAUGAGCGUUUGCCGACUCACAGCUGCCAAACUCUAGAUCAAGCAACCGCUUCAUUAUCCUUAGGGAAUGAAUGACGAUGACGUGAAGUCUGUGGAGGAACCUCGAUGAUGCAGGCCCCGAGCCAUACUUGAAGCUGCACAGCUCUCAAUUGGUAUAUGCUCCCUCGAAAACCCAGAGAUGAAUUUUCUUCAGUUCUAUUAUUUGGGGAACUACCCCUACUCAGUAUGUGCGUCAUCGUGACUAUAGUUACACGGCCCAGGGUCAACUUUUGGGAUGGGAAAAUUGCUGUAACUGGUAGCAGAGUUUCCACAGCCACUUCACAAGGAUAAGUAUUUAUAGAUAAGGAAAUGUGGGCUUUUGCAUGUUAGAUAUCCUUUCACUUUUGUUGUCCCUUGAACAAGACGAUUUCCUUGGUGUCACUAUACUGACUUAAAGGGAUGUUGUUGAAUGGGCGGGGGGGUCCACUUUUAUCAACCGGAAUAAGCCAAAGGGCAGUUUUACUUCAAACGGUUGACUAUUUUUUUCAAAUACUGUAUACUUCUAUUUUUCAAAAUGCUUUCAAAUUCAUCGAAGUAUAAUUUGAAAUCCCAACAAAUCCAGGGACUGAUCAUUUUUAGUGGACGCUGGACAAAUCGGGGCAUGUUCCAAUUUUGCGUGCAUACCUCCCUCCCUUUCUGCACUAUAAUUUAGUUUAAAUCGGACAACAUUACUCUUCGUGCAUCUUUUUUAUUUUUUCACGUUUUUUAGUUAAAAAUAUUGUGAAAGAAUAGAGAAUGAAUAAUGAUAGGCUCACUAUACUUAUGCCAUCAAUUAAAGCUAAGCAUUAUGUUGUUGAUUAAAUGCGGUCAAUCUAAACACACUUUACUUCCUAGCCUAAUCUAUAUCACGUGCACAGUGAAGCGCUAACAAAUGGGCUUCUGGGCUGGCUAGACAACGUUUCAAACAGCUGAGUAAAAUUAAAUGAAAACCUUUCCCAGAAUGAUGCACACGACAAAAAGAUACGAGAAAGGUUUCAGCAUUGCUGCUUCACUAACAGCGCAUGCAGGACCUCCCUGGACCGCCAAAGCGUGAAUGUAACCGGCCCCUAACCAUUUGUCAUAGGUGUUUUUAUUUCCAACACUGACUAGUUUCUUAGUGGAGUCCCUGAAAAGAAGAUUGCUCUUUUCUGGAACAUAUUUGCUGGAUUCAAAUAUCAGGAAUCCGGAACAGUUGCUAGCUGUCGUGUUAGGCUGACAGUACUUGGAUGCUGUGACUAAAAUGUUGACAAAAUCUUUGUUGUCAGAUGUGGUCCUGGUAACGACAGCAUUAGAAGGUCUGCGACCAUAGCUGCAAUCCUCGUACGCCUCUUGUGUUACAACUACAAUAACAAAAACUUUGAUGAAUAUAUCAUGAUCACAGAAACAUUUCAAGGUUCUUUGGUUUUCCUCCUCCAUAGAAAUCAUACUGGCACCGUAAUUGAGAACUGUUUGCAUAAAAUAUUUAUGCAGUGAUAGUGUGUGAGAGUUACAGGGACCAAAUUGAAAUCAGUCAAAUUUGCUUCCCACUAUAACAAAGUGAUUUAUUUUAUUAGUAAUGAUGGAAAG